GAAUGGAAAUACCCAUGGAGGCCAAAUCAAACACAAACAAAAGGGAAAACAAACAAAAUGGAAAUGCCCGUGGUGACGAAAGAAACCCUUAGCAGAAUUGAAAUGCAUUUGGGUGGGUUCUCGUGCCGGAGCCAUUAGCUGGAAGGCCGCCGGCAACAAAGAAUAUCGCCCAUAAAAGACUAGCCGUUGAGAGAAUGAUAACGGCAAAGAAAAUUCAAAUGGGAGCGUGAAAAAGCAAUUGAAUUUCAAUAUAAAUAUAAGCAAUUCAGUUUCAUUUCGUUACGGACAUUCUUUCUUUCUCUGAUUGCCCCUUUCUCUCGAUGUUCUGUUUUGUGAUUGUCCCUUUCUGUCAAUGUUCUGUUCUUUCUCUCUGUUUUCUUCAAAAAAAAUUAAGUGUUUGCUUUGUUUUCAUUUUUCAUUUUUCUGGUAUUCAGCGUGCACGCUGGUCUGUCUGUCUUUUUUUUGGUAUUGCAUUUUUCUGGCAGAGCAGGGGAAAGGCAGAGCAGAGGAAGAGGCAGAGCAACCGAGGGGAAAUUCUUCUUCCAGGCAUGAGAUGCAGAACGCAGAAAGUGUUCAUAUAACUGCUGCAGAGAGGAAGAAAUGGGAAGUUCCUUAUGACCUGCUUUGCCUUAUGACCUGCUUUGUUUAUAGCAAGUAGCUGCUCUAGAAGGAAACCAUAUUUUCAAAACAGCUAACCCAAUGUUUGAAUUCUCUGGCAAUGAAUUGAUCUUCUCCUACACAGCGAACCCAUUUGGAUUUGCUAUCAAGCGCAGAUUCCAUGGAGAGGUUAUGUUCAACUCUUCAUAUGGUAGCUUGGUUUUCAGUAUCCGGUGAGCAGAUACAAAAUCGUUGAGGACUUGGAUGUGCUAUCUGUACCAUGACUGUAAUCCUGUGGUUGUGCAUGGAGAUGUGCACCAAUGUACUAAUGGACAGCCACAUGGAAGCUCCGAUGUCUGAUUUUGCUUAGCCAGACUCAUGCAUAGGGAAGCCACCAUGUGCUGUAGCGCGUACAUUGCACCAGCCACAUGGAAGCUCGGAUGUCUGAUUUUGCUUAGCCAGACUCAUGCAGAGGGAAGCCGCCAUGUGCUCUAGCGCGUACAUCGCAUCAGGUUCACAUAGACAUAUGCUCAUAUCCCUAAAUACUCCAAGAUACAAAUAUUUGAAAAGAUUUUGAUGCUAACUCUAAAAGUUCAUUUUUUCCUUUCAAAACCUAUUUUUAACCUGGGGGCAAAAAAUAGGGCGACAGACAUGUUGGAGCCAAAAAACUACAGUAUGAUAAGAAUUAGUUGUUUUUCAUCAUGGUGUAUUCAAAACAGCAAGAGAUGGAAUUAGGUUUGCACUAUUUCUUUAGUUAUGUUUUGGUCAAGCGUUUUGACUUGAUAGCAUUGUAAAAUGUACAAAUAUAAUGUUUAAUAAAAAAAUUAUUGGAUUGCACUCAA
Molecule: long non-coding RNA, 1439 nt
Organism: Cryptomeria japonica (Japanese cedar)
Lineage: Eukaryota; Viridiplantae; Streptophyta; Pinopsida; Cupressales; Cupressaceae
Exons: 6
Source: RefSeq, a predicted model, not a curated record